This 312-nucleotide unclassified non-coding RNA is filed under the name plant metagenome. Its description in RNAcentral is "partial contains 5.8S ribosomal RNA, internal transcribed spacer 2, and large subunit ribosomal RNA". The stretch from base 1 to 105 matches the Rfam family "5.8S ribosomal RNA", at positions 50 to 154 of the family's 154-position model. The record is from RNAcentral.
GAAAUGCGAUAAGUAAUGUGGAUUGCAGAAUUCCGUGAAUCAUCGAAUCUUUGAACGCACAUUGCGCCCUCUGGCAUUCCGGGGGGCAUGCCUGUCCGAGCGUCAUUACGCACCCUCAAGCCCGGCUUGUGUGAUGGGCCCCGGCGUCUCGUUCGCGAGACGGGCCCGAAAGGCAGCGGCGGCGUCGACCCGAUGAGCCCGAGCGUAUGGGGACUUCUGUCACACGUUCGCGGUGCGGACCGGCGCCUGCUUGACUUUUCUGAUUAUCCAGGUUGACCUCGGAUCAGGUAGGGAUACCCGCUGAACUUAAGC